CAAGCUGGGCUGCAAAGGGGAGAAGCACCAGAAUCUAGCAGGCUGAGCGCCUGAUUAUUAAUUUAAUGAUUUUUAGCCCAGAUUGAAGAUGCAAAUUCUGGCAAUAAGAAAUAACUUGACAUGGAUAUUAUGAGAUUACCAAAACCUCACAGUAGUAGUAAUAACAAUAAUCAUCUGCUAUUUGAAAAGAUGCUGAAAUCCAUGGAAAUUUUAAAAUAUUAUUCUUAGAAAUCUUUCCCCUAAAUGCUUUGUCUUUCCUGAAAGUGACAGAAAAGGAGAUAGAAAGCGUAAAGAGCUCCACGUAUCCACACUUGUACCUCUACGGUUUUACAUGCGCUCUUGGCCGUCGCCCGGUGUUGGAUGCAACUGGAUACUUCACGUCUAAGGAGAUGGAGAAAUAAAUUGCAUUGCUCUCCCUGCAAGUCUGAUCAAGCUCUGAAAGGUGAGUUCCCUAGGAUAAAUCUUCAUUUCUCCCAUGUGAAGAAUGAUGCUGAGAUCUGCCCAUGGAAGAUUACAUUCUAGGAGCAAGAGGCACAAAGGACCUUUGCUUUUAGACUUUCCUUUAAGAGGUCCACAACAUAUUGAGCAAAGUGGAAUGAAAUGGAUUAACCUUUGGAAGAUAAAAGGUAAUCAGGACUGAACAAUGCUCCCCGUGGUUAGACCACAAGCUUUUUAUGAAAGCUUUAUGAUCAGUCUGUGCGUGUAUCUCAACAGUUCCU
RNAcentral lists this long non-coding RNA (719 nucleotides) under Calidris pygmaea (Spoon-billed sandpiper). RNAcentral's name for it is "lncRNA (ENSCPGG00000017252.1)". The record is from RNAcentral. Lineage: Eukaryota; Metazoa; Chordata; Aves; Charadriiformes; Scolopacidae.